This 73-nucleotide transfer RNA is filed under the name Chlorobiota bacterium. RNAcentral's name for it is "tRNA-Lys". It matches the Rfam family "tRNA". From Rfam's summary of the family: Transfer RNA (tRNA) molecules are approximately 80 nucleotides in length. Their secondary structure includes four short double-helical elements and three loops (D, anti-codon, and T loops). Further hydrogen bonds mediate the characteristic L-shaped molecular structure. tRNAs have two regions of fundamental functional importance: the anti-codon, which is responsible for specific mRNA codon recognition, and the 3' end, to which the tRNAs corresponding amino acid is attached (by aminoacyl-tRNA synthetases). tRNAs cope with the degeneracy of the genetic code in two manners: having more than one tRNA (with a specific anti-codon) for a particular amino acid; and 'wobble' base-pairing, i.e. permitting non-standard base-pairing at the 3rd anti-codon position. Lineage: Bacteria; Pseudomonadati; Chlorobiota. RNAcentral also lists the same sequence under 1 other name. The record is from RNAcentral.
GCAUCCUUAGCUCAGCUGGUAGAGCAACUGACUCUUAAUCAGUAGGCCGGCGGUUCAAACCCGCCAGGGUGUA